CAGCCUGGGAGGUCCACGCGCGUUAGCCGGAGCAGGAGGUCCCACCACCAUCACCGCUCCUCGCCCUGCCACGGGAGGAAGCGGGAGGCAAUGCGGAGCCGAACUAAACACUUUAAUUAGAGGGCUGUUUCCCAGGGAGCGCAGAUGGAGGGCAAACGGAGCAAAUGGCGAAGGAUGUUCUUUAGAAGGCCACUUCGGCUGAGUAUCAAAAGCGAUGUCUGUAAGGAAGGACGUUUAUUCAGUGCAGAAGAAACACACUUCUUAUGCGCAUCUGCUGAACAGCACCAGGUCGUAAGCCCCCAGCGGUACCCAAGGAGGAGUGGACGGAGGCUGCGCUUGGUGGGUCAAGAAAUGGAGACUCCUGUGAUGGAGAAUGCUGCGGGCUUGUGGCUUUGGGCACCAGGAGGAAAUUUCUGCUCCACCUGCAGAUUUGCGGCUCGGGAAUAGAGUCUGUGUGCUGGCAGCGCUGAACUGCCAGAGCUGUCAGAGCCCAGGCCCGUGGCAGCACCGGGAGGGUCAGGGGCAGCGGGCAGAGCAACAUGGGCACUGCUGGAGGCAGCGAGGCAAAAAGCAGUACACGGACAGGCGUUUUCACACAAUGAACCAUAUGGGAGUCAAUGAAGAAGGUGUCGAUGUGCAGCACAGCCUGGCCCCCUGCAUGCUGAUGGAUAAAGCUGGCAGAUGGGUGGAUCAUCAGCUUUGAAGACUUCCUUCUGAAUUUGCUGGAUUUUCUUCUGAAAGCAUCCAAUAAAUAAGACAGGCAGAAGAACGAAGUGGCAGGGAGGAUGUGCAGCACGGCUCCUUCCUGCGUAACCAGAGAUUGCUCAGUUGCUACCAGCAGGAGACUUUCCAUCGACUGGAAAUGCUUGCAGGAAUAUUGGAUGGUUGAACUUGUUUUGAAGACAUCUCCUACAAAAGCAUCUCAUCCCGUUCAUACCCACUGAAAAGCCUUUUGCAUCGAUCUCAGAACAUACCCGCCAUGAGAAGUUGGAGGUGGGACCUGAGCUGAGCCCAUGAAGCCGUGUCACCGUUCCUAUGCUGCCGUGGACCAAGGAGGUCUCAGGGACAAGAGGCCAAAUUCUGUCACCUUUCCUGCCAGCGGGGUGUGUGUCCCAUGGACCUCACGGAGCUACUCAUGGAUGAAGUCCCAUUCCAUGAGGAGGAGCUCAGCUGGGAAGGCUUUGGCCUCCACCAUCUGGCGGUUUUAAUUAUGGAGAGAAACUUCAGCAAACUCUGAAUGGAAAUGUUCUGGCUGGCAGCAGUCCAAGGGAGGAAGAGGCUGGAGCACAAUCAUGCUAAUCAUCGCGUUAAAUGCCUCGUGUUCGGUGCCCAGCUCUUGCAUGCCAAUACACCUUGAUCCACCAACGGCCAUGUUGAAUUCCAUGGAGUGACAGCUUGUAUUCGCGUGGCCCUUUGUAUUUGAUGGGAUCCCUAAAGGAUUUGUGCAUUUGUCAAACUGAAAUAUAGUCCGUUCCCUCCUGAAGUCGGCUUCCCCCGGCGUGGAAGGCACAUAACUCUGCAAGACAACUGUGCGGAGCAGGGAGUGAUGAACAACGUGCAGCGGAAACUGUGAAGGGGAGCUGGGCCAGGUGCCGCGCAAUGACCUAACUUGACAUUUGGUAGGAAUGUGGGAGUUUUUACGAGCCAACUUCUGAAAAAUACAAUGUGGCAUCUCUCAUGUAUUCAGAAUUUCAGGGUGGGUUUCUUCUGAGAGCAGAGCCUUUAGCUUUAGGCGCCUGUCAGAUUUGCUGGCUAUAAGGCGGGGGAAUUCUCUUUCGAACCCCCAAAAAGAUGUAUGAGAAGUUAAUAAAUCCUGUAUUUCCGAUAUUAGAAGAGGUUACUGCCUUUAGUCUUGAUCAUACCCCUGCCACAGAGUGUGGCUUCACCAGAAAAUGGGGAUGGUAGUGAGAACCUCCCAGUGGUGGUGGGGUCUCCCAGUGGGCUACUGCCUGUGGCCAUGUGUCUUCCUUAUUAUCCUUAUCCUCCCAGUGCCACCGCCACCUCCUUUGCCCCUGGAGGCAAAGGUGGAUGCACAAAGAUGGAUGUAGAGGUAAUUCUCAGAUCCAUGGAGAUUGCUGUUCUCGGGCUCACACUCACGAUUCCUACUGAAUUACUGUAACUUUCUGCAGAACAAAUGCCUGAUAGAAAAGCAUCAGGAAGGAUAUCUGUUUUUAUGGUCUUUACCAGUUAUUAUUGUAGCAAUGAUGGCUUUCAGAGAACUGGAGAUGGCUCUGUCAGAGGUGAUAAUGGCACUUCCGAGCUGUUGAUUACCUCCACGUUGGGCCUUUUCACCACAUUUGAUAAAGACGUCUCCGUUCUCGGAAAGCCAUCGGCGAUUCAGUGAUAAUACAAACACCAGAUUGGAUUCCAGGCGCUUUCUCUGGCAUCCUGUGUUUAGAACGGGAUGUCCCCGUGCCGUACAGAGCGAGAUGAUUUCUUUACCAAGGUGCAAUAUAAAAUGCACUUGAAAACACCUUGUUUUUGUAAGAUGUUUGUGUCUGAGAUUUUUAAACCAAAGCGAGACAUUAAUUAUUGGACACUAUCUGGAUGCGGCUGAAAUUUGUGAGGCUCGUUUGGCUCGAUUUGUCUGAGAAGAUGCCUGCAUUUUGGACCCAGUCUCACAGCAGUUUCCCGUUGAUUCCAGUUGGCAUCGUAUCAAGCCUUAGCGUGCUCUACAACAGGCAGAUGAGAAAACAAAGUAUUUCUCUGACUUUCUCUGGAACUGUAAUUAUUGGGGUAAUUUGGAGAUACUCACAAGUCUAUGUGCAGAUAAGUGAUGACAGGCAAGAAACCAGCAACACAAUUAAGUAAAAUAUUAGUUCCCAAGUAAGUUUUGUCAAAGCGUUAGAAAUGUCUGCACAGCCUAUCUAGCUCCACCUUGGAGAGCCAUUUAAAGUGUAUCUUCCUUCCCAUCUCCCUCUAAAACUCUAAAUGAGAAACAAAUAAAAUUUUUGUAACCUUUUAUAGCCACUGCCAUAACCCUGUUUAUCAGCCAGCAUCCUUUAUCUCUCACCGGCUGGAAAUCACGCGUUUUCAUUGCCCUGAAUCACCAGAUGCAUUCAUCAAACAUGACAAAUGCCUCCAAAACACUAAAUCACACCACUUGAUCUCAAUGGGCUACAUAAUCAUUGUCAUACUGACGAUAAAUUUGAAAAUAUCUGUGUUCCAGACUGAAAUACCUGCAGCUCCUACCAGGGCUGAGAAACUGCAGGGGGAAAACUGAAUCCUAAAUUAAGUUUAAGAGUUUUUCAUCCCCUCAAAAAUUUGAUAAACUCAUGAAUUUUUGUGAGGCUUUCUGAUUUAUUUUUAGAAAAAGAAAGUUGUGGGUUUUUUUCUACCCAUGGGAAUGACUCGUGGAGUAAGAGAUGUUUUUCAAGAAUAAGGCUAUAUCUUAGUAAGUACAAAAAUGUAGGAGGGAAAAACUCAUCUCUUCCCGGGGAGUUUCCAGUUCUGUGGCCCUGCCCAUGCCUUGAUCUCCCUGAUGCUCCUGUGUCCCAGAGGACCUGCACUGGCCCGAGGGUGGCAUCGUAAGGGGCUGGCAAUGCCUUUAGAGCUUCUGAGGGGAGAGAAGUGCGGCAGAGCAUCCUCCUCCAUGCCCUGUUUAACAGGACCCUGCACCCUGUGGAGGAAAGGCACUGGCAGGACAACGCUGAAGUCAUCGCAGGUCAAACUUUUGGUAUCGCUCAAAAAAAGGAGAAGUUGGGCUACGGAUGCAUGAACAAACUGCCCUAAGGAUGCCAUAUAUCAACUGACCUGUGAGAACCACGGCUUUUCUGCAGUGAAAGCCAGGCAAUGCAAGGGGUAACUUAAGGUGACCAAAAACCUAAUUCUGCUGAUCAUCUGCACCGUGAACUUCCAAAGUCAUCUCCCGGCAGCUGCCCAGUUUGACCUUGAGAGCUGUG
Long non-coding RNA from Chroicocephalus ridibundus (black-headed gull), 3902 nucleotides. RefSeq lists it as uncharacterized. The record is from RefSeq and is a predicted model, not a curated record. NCBI's taxonomy places the organism in Eukaryota, Metazoa, Chordata, Aves, Charadriiformes, Laridae. The transcript has 9 exons.